Molecule: long non-coding RNA, 3338 nt
Organism: Salvia splendens (bonfire salvia)
Lineage: Eukaryota; Viridiplantae; Streptophyta; Magnoliopsida; Lamiales; Lamiaceae
Exons: 4
Source: RefSeq, a predicted model, not a curated record
CGGCUUCACCAUUCUGCCCUAACUCGGUCCUCUUCUGAUUCGGGUACAGAAAAAGAGGGCUAUUUUUCCAUAUCCAAUUCAAGUGAGCUUUCUUACCUCGAUUUUCAUCCCUUUCCAGAAUUAAGAAUUUCCUUAUUUUUUUCAUGAUUUUAUUUAUGACUGCAUUUGCAUGUUUUGGAACUCGAUUAGCUUGUUUCAGUUCAAUAGUAAGUGUAAUUGGGUGAGUUAAGUGAAAUUGAUAAUUUUGGGGGGUUUCCUUUUGCUUUUUUAGGUGUUGGAAUCAGAUGAAAGUCUAUUUUGGAACGUUUUGAUUUUUUUGGGUGUUUAGUUAUAGUUUCAGGAGAUGACUUCUAAUAUGGAGAUGGUAUCCGUGACUCGGCAGAAGCAAGAUCCUGCUUGGAAGCAUGGCGAAAUGCUUAGGAAUGGCGGGAAGGUCGAAAUUAAGGGAGGAGGAAUACAUAGGUUUAAAGAACAUCUCGCCUGCCAGAAAGGCAAUGGCGGUACUUGCUCAAGUGUUCAUCCUGAUGUACGCCUCCAAAUGAUCGAGAUUCUGAGUAGAACCAAGAAAAGACCCAGACUUGCUAAGGAUAAGCCUGCUUGUGAUAGUCCUGGGAACAGCAGGUCAGCGGUAGCUAACAAUAGUGAUGGGGACGUUCAUGAUAAUCGGCGCAGUUGAAUUAGCUAAUAAUAGUAAUCAUAAUACGGCUGCGUGCUGGGAUAGAGAGGAUGGUAUGAGCUGGGAUAGAGAGGAUGGUAUGAGCGGGAAAACAAAUAUUAAGAAGAAGAGAGAAACGGUGGUGACAAAAGCCCUUGAUGUUGUUAACUCCAACACUGCUGUUUUUCCUGCUCUGAAUUUGAAAAAGAAAGUUAGUAUAGUUGAUAUGGCUGUAGGCCGUUUUUCUUUGAUGUUGGAUUACCCGGAGAUGCUGUUAAUUCUGCCUAUUUUCAACCAAUGCUUGAUGCAAUAGCUUCUCAAGGCACCGGAGUUGUUGGCCCGCCCUAACACGACCUAAGGAGCUGUAUUUUGAAGAAUGCAGUUCAUGAAGUGAGAUAUGAUGUUGAUCAAUUCACAGCGGCUUUGGGAAAGAAUGGUUGGUCAAUUUUAGUCUACGAUUCGAGUUCAGAAAAGUGUAAAACCUGUGUCAACCUUUUUGCAUCUUCUCCAGAAGGUACCAUCUUUUUGAGGUCAGCCGAUAUAUCAUGUGCCAUAGAUUCUGCAGAUGCCCUUUAUGAAUUGUUAAAAGAAACUGUUGAAGAAAUCGGUCAAAGAAAUGUUGUGCAAGUGGUGACAACUGGUGAAGAGCGGAAUGCUAUUGCUGGGAGAAGGCUUGCCAAAACAUACCCAAGUAUUUUUUGGACUCCUUGUGCUGGUUAUUGCAUUGAUUUGAUGCUUCAGGACAUAGGAGAAUUACCCAUGGUGAAGAUGAUACUUGACCAGGCUAAAUCCAUGUCGAGGUAUAUCUAUUCAAAUGCUACUACUAUAAAUAUGAUAAGACGAUACACAUCUGGAGUGGAUUUAGUUGAUCUGGGAACUACUCGCUCAUCCAGUGAUUUUAUGACACUGAAAAGGAUGGUUAAUGUCAGACCUAAUUUGCAGUCCAUGGUUACUUCUGAGGAGUGGAUGGAAAGCUCUUACUCAAAGAAAGAAGAAGGUUACGCAUUGCUAGACUCUAUCUGUGAUCAAUCAUUCUGGUCCACGUGUGCCUCAAUAACACGUCUUAUAGACCCAAUGUUGCAUCUAUUAAGGAUAGUAAGUAGUCAAAAGAUGCCCUCUAUGGGAUCUAUAUAUGCAGGGUUGUAUCGAGUCAAAGAUGCAAUUAAGAAGGAGCUUGUUACCAGGGAACAAUACUUAGUUUAUUGGAGUAUCAUUGAUCACAGGUGGGAACAACUUCAGCGGCACCCCCUUCACGCGGCUAGUUUUUAUUUGAAUCCUAGACAUUUUUACAGUCUUGAAAGAGAUGGGUAUCUUCAUAUUCAAUCAUUAGUAUAUGAUUGCAUAGAGAAACUGGUUCCUGAACCAAAUAUCCAAGAUAAAAUUAUGAGGGAAACAACCUCUUACCAUAGUGCUACUGGAGACUUUGGGCGGAAGUUGGCCAUCAGAGCAAGGGACACUAUUCUUCCCAGUGAGUCUUCUUUCUGAUGUACACAUAUUACUUUUGUGUAAUGCUUUUCUGCUGCUGCUAAAUUAACUAAUUGCAUAUUAUUAUUCAGCUUUUCACUGCUUACCAUGAUUAGCUUGUCGAUAGAAAUAAUAAGUGAUAGCAGAUUAGCAGUGCAAUGUAGCAAUGCAUUCAUGGAGAAUUAGCUGCAGUUUUACAUACAUUUGCUAGUAUAGUAAAAUUAGCUAAUGACCUAAUUGCAGGAAUAUGUUUUAGCCUGUACAUCAUGUCACUGUCUAACCUACUUAUCCUGAUUAUUGCUUGAUAUUUUUUGCGCCCUGGAGUCAUCUUGUUCUUUCCUCAAUUUACUGUUUUUAGCUGAGUGGUGGCUAACGUAUGGUGGGGAAUGCCCUAAUUUGGCUCGCUUGGCUAUCCGCAUUCUCAGCCAAACUUGCUGCUUGAUCCAGUCAUCCAGCAUAAGGUAGAUAAAGUUUCUCUUGAACGAAUGCAUGAGGGGAAAAAUUGGCUGGAGCAUCAAAGGCUUAGUGAUCUUGUUUACGUUCAGAACAUGUCAUUGAAGCAUAUGAGUUCAGGCAAAAGACAAGAGAAAGCUUUUGAUCCCCUUUCUUAUGAGCACAUUAAUUUAGUUGAAGACUGGGUAAUGGGAAAUGAAUUUUGCUAAGAGGAUUCUGAAAAGAAUGGAUGGAUGGAUGUUGAGCCUCCUUAUGGUAAUGUUAUGGCAUCUGGCCCGCAAAUUAAUGAUGUUGAAGCCCAUGGGGCAGGAUUUGAUGAUUAUGAAAUCCUUUUUGGGGUGAAAGAUAGCGAAGAAGAAACUGGCUGUGAAAACAUACACAUAGGGAAUACUGGUGAUAAGACCAUAGUUCCAGGUGGUUCUGCAAGAUGGUGUUUGAAUUGAAGGAAGUUGAAUGGGGCCGACAGAAGUAGUCUGUAUAGCAUGGAAAGUUGGCUCAUGGCAACGCCCGGUACAUUGUGAUGCCGUGGAUGCAGACACCCAAUGUACCGUGGAUGCAGACAUUGAAGUUCACGAUCGGAAUCAUGGCAGAAUUGCAUAUGAAUAACAGGAACAUGUAUAUAUGUUUCUCUUCUUUCAACAUUAUGGGAGAUGUUAGAAUGUUUGCAAAUUAGUGUAUGCGAUAAUCUUUUAGGGAUUGCCUACUUUUCAUGAUGGACUAGGUACAUGAACGAAUAUUUUUAUUCUCAUACUAAUUUUUUUUUUCA